YAAACGACUYUYGGCAACGGAUAUCUCGGCUCUUGCAUCGAUGAAGAACGUAGCGAAAUGSSAUACUUGGUGUGAAUUGCAGAAUCCCGUGAACCAUCGAGUCUUUGAACGCAAGUUGCGCCCGAGGCCAUUAGGUCGAGGGCACGUCUGCCUGGGCGUCACAC
This 164-nucleotide ribosomal RNA is filed under the name Aconitum variegatum. RNAcentral's name for it is "5.8S ribosomal RNA". It matches the Rfam family "5.8S ribosomal RNA". From Rfam's summary of the family: 5.8S ribosomal RNA (5.8S rRNA) is a component of the large subunit of the eukaryotic ribosome. It is transcribed by RNA polymerase I as part of the 45S precursor that also contains 18S and 28S rRNA. The record is from RNAcentral. Lineage: Eukaryota; Viridiplantae; Streptophyta; Magnoliopsida; Ranunculales; Ranunculaceae.